RNAcentral lists this ribosomal RNA (254 nucleotides) under uncultured bacterium. Its description in RNAcentral is "partial 16S ribosomal RNA". It matches the Rfam family "Bacterial small subunit ribosomal RNA", at positions 524 to 776 of the family's 1533-position model. The record is from RNAcentral.
UACGUAGGUCCCGAGCGUUGUCCGGAUUUAUUGGGCGUAAAGCGAGCGCAGGUGGCAUGGCAAGCCAGAAGUGAAAACCCGGGGCUUAACCCCGCGGAUUGCUUUUGGAACUGUCAGGCUGGAGUGCAGGAGGGGCAGGCGGAAUUCCUGGUGUAGCGGUGAAAUGCGUAGAUAUCAGGAGGAACACCGGUGGCGAAGGCGGCCUGCUGGACUGUAACUGACACUGAGGCUCGAAAGCGUGGGGAGCAAACAGG